Long non-coding RNA from Vidua chalybeata, 309 nucleotides. RefSeq lists it as uncharacterized. NCBI's taxonomy places the organism in Eukaryota, Metazoa, Chordata, Aves, Passeriformes, Viduidae. The transcript has 3 exons. The record is from RefSeq and is a predicted model, not a curated record.
CCCACAUGAGAAACCAGUGGCUGUUUGGACUGCCAAGUGUCAGCAGGUGUCUGUCUCCAGUUUCGCUAUCAGACUUCACUUCGCAAUGAUCCCUCUGUGAGAGGUGCAGAAAGCUGCUAUUAUGGAAAUAACUGUCUGCUAAGCUGAGCACAGUGGGGAGUUCUCAGGAAGAUGAUUCUUCUGAACAUGCCUGUGAAAUGCUGCUGAAAAUGGCUACACCAAAGCAAGGAGCAACUCCUCUCAUACCAUCCCAGCACAUCAACUGACAGAGUUGCAAAACCUGAAUCCUUAAAAUCCUGACUGAAUUGA